Molecule: ribosomal RNA, 447 nt
Filed under: uncultured bacterium
Lineage: Bacteria
Description: partial 16S ribosomal RNA
Rfam family: Bacterial small subunit ribosomal RNA
Source: RNAcentral
AACGAACGCUGGCGGCAGGCUUAACACAUGCAAGUCGAGCGCCCCGCAAGGGGAGCGGCAGACGGGUGAGUAACGCGUGGGAAUCUACCGUGCCCUACGGAAUAGCUCCGGGAAACUGGAAUUAAUACCGUAUACGCCCUACGGGGGAAAGAUUUAUCGGGGUAUGAUGAGCCCGCGUUGGAUUAGCUAGUUGGUGGGGUAAAGGCCUACCAAGGCGACGAUCCAUAGCUGGUCUGAGAGGAUGAUCAGCCACAUUGGGACUGAGACACGGCCCAAACUCCUACGGGAGGCAGCAGUGGGGAAUAUUGGACAAUGGGCGCAAGCCUGAUCCAGCCAUGCCGCGUGAGUGAUGAAGGCCCUAGGGUUGUAAAGCUCUUUCACCGAUGAAGAUAAUGACUGUAGUCGGAGAAGAAGCCCCGGCUAACUUCGUGCCAGCCGCCGCGGUAA